This is an RNA transcript of Schistocerca serialis cubense, 1689 nucleotides long. It is a transcript of the gene named single-strand selective monofunctional uracil DNA glycosylase, with no coding region annotated. The record is from RefSeq and is a predicted model, not a curated record. The transcript has 5 exons. Lineage: Eukaryota; Metazoa; Arthropoda; Insecta; Orthoptera; Acrididae.
UUUAUAUUUCCCCGAAUUGCGCUGUCAAUUGCAGUGUUUGUUUUGGAGGUGGUGCAGAUGGUUUCACGGAAGUGGAUUCAAUGUUAAACAGUAGUGACGGUGCUUUCGUGGUUUUAAGAGAAAGUUUGAGGACGUACAUGUUUCCGCGGUACUCUCGUGAGCUAAACAUUGAACGGUUGGCUGAAUAAGUCUAACAAGAAUUGUGCUUUAUACAGAUUCCUAUACUCUGUUAAUUCGCAAAAGAUUUUCUGCCGCUCGCUGCCUCUACGUAUCCUUGACAUGCACGACUGCGGCAGGUCAAGAGCGGAGACCGAAAAUUUGUUUUUACCAGUAAUUCACGAAAAACUCGAGUUUCAACAAACGGCGAAGAAUAAUGAACUUAUCCAUUCAUACAGCACAGUGCCAGAGAAGAUACUGAGUAUACACCAGGAAUUAGCUAAUAGGCUAUCAGAAUUACCAUUCUCGGCACCAAUCGAAUACAUUUAUAAUCCUCUGGACUACGCUUUUGAUGUCCAUGCUCAAUUUGUAAAUAAAUUCUGCCACUCAGAAAAGCAAAUUUUAUUUCUUGGUAUGAAUCCUGGACCAUGGGGUAUGUCGCAAACUGGGGUACCAUUUGGUGAAGUGACGAUAGUGAGAGACUGGUUAGGUAUUAGUGGGGAAGUUAGAUGCCCGUCUAAACAAUGCCCUAAAAGACCUGUGCUGGGUUUCAGCUGUAAGAGAAGAGAACUUAGUGGUUGGAAGUUCUGGAACUUCUUCAAAAGCAUAUGUUUGAAUCCACUCAGGUUCUUCAGACAUGCUUUUGUUUAUAAUUACUGUCCAUUGGCAUUUAUGACAGCAACAGGAAAGAAUGUAACGCCAGCAGAAAUGAAGAGUAGUGAUCGCAAGAUGAUAGAUUCCCUUUGUGAGAGAGCAUUCUGCAAAGUACUGGAUCUGUUACAUGUGGAUACAAUAAUUGCAGUUGGGAAGUAUGCUGAGAAGCGUGCUGCUUCUGUGACAAAAGCAAAUGGAUUGAACCACAUAAAGGAGUGAAGAGAGAAGGUGAUAAGCAGGAAGGAGGCUGUCGAAUGCUGGCUCAGAGGUGACAUGUGAUAUCAACAUGGAGCACCCUGUCUGUCAUACAGAUUGUUACUAUUCUACAUCCCAGCCCACGGAAUUUCAAUUCAAAAAACUGGGAAGAAGAAACUAAAGCACUAUUACAGAAAAAUGAUUUAAUGAAAUUUUUUUGUGAUGCUUGAAAUAUAUUAUACAGAACAACAUUGUUAAUGACAUUCCAGUUGAGAGCAAAUGUUCUAUAAUGCAAAUACUGAAUAUUCCAAGACUGUGCAUCAUUGCUCAAUUGGUAUAGGGUGUGCCAUGAAAGUGAGCCCCUUAUGUCAAUGAUAAUGUUUCAGUAGUGUAGCUGACAGCAAUUGCUGUUUGUCACUCAUAGAUAAACCACUUGAAAAGGCAGUUUACAGACAUGGAGCUCAGUGUGGUACAAUUGUGAGUAUAUUUUACAGAGUUAAAUAUACCACAACACUUGUAUUAGAAUAAUCAGUAUUUCAGUUUUUGUGAAGCAUAAUCUUGUACCAUUGUAACAUGUAGUAAGAAUGUUGGUGACACUGUUUGAAGAACAGAAAAUUACUUGGAGCAAAAACUAGCAAGUAAGACAUAAUGUAGUGCACAGGAAGCAAUAAAAGAUUCAGACCA